Molecule: ribosomal RNA, 234 nt
Filed under: uncultured bacterium
Lineage: Bacteria
Description: partial 16S ribosomal RNA
Rfam family: Bacterial small subunit ribosomal RNA
Source: RNAcentral
GGCGGACGGGUGAGUAAUACUUAGGAAUCUGCCCAUUAGUGGGGGACAACAUUCGGAAACGGAUGCUAAUACCGCAUACGCCCUACGGGGGAAAGCGGGGGAUCUUCGGACCUCGCGCUAAUGGAUGAGCCUAAGUCGGAUUAGCUUGUUGGUGAGGUAAUGGCUCACCAAGGCGACGAUCCGUAGCUGGUCUGAGAGGACGAUCAGCCACACUGGGACUGAGACACGGCCCAG